GAUGAAGAACGGAGCGAAAUGCGAUAAGUAAUGUGAAUUGCAGAAUUCCGUGAAUCAUCGAAUCUUUGAACGCACAUUGCGCCCCCUGGCAUUCCGGGGGGCAUGCCUGUCCGAGCGUCAUUUCUGCCCUCCAGCCCGGCUGGGUGUUGGGCGCUGUCCCCCCGGGGACACGCCCCAAAGGCAGUGGCGGCGCCGCGUCGGGUCCUCGAGCGUAUGGGGCUUUGUCACCCGCUCGGGACGGACUCGUCGGCGCUGGUCUUCCUCCAGGCGACCCUUCGGGGCUCGUCUUCCUUCGGUUGACCUCGGAUCAGGUAGGGUUACCCGCUGAACUUAAGCAUAUCAAUAAGCGGAGGA
Molecule: unclassified non-coding RNA, 354 nt
Filed under: soil metagenome
Description: partial contains 5.8S ribosomal RNA, internal transcribed spacer 2, and large subunit ribosomal RNA
Rfam family: 5.8S ribosomal RNA (bases 1-120)
Source: RNAcentral